GAUGAAGAACGUAGCGAAAUGCGAUAAGUAAUGCGAAUUGCAGAAUUCCAGUGAGUCAUCGAAUCUUUGAACGCACAUUGCGCCCUUUGGUAUUCCGAAGGGCAUGCCUGUUCGAGCGUCAUUAUCACCCCUCAAGCCCCCGGGCUUGGUGUUGGACGGCUUGGUGGGGACCUUCGGGUCGUCCACCCCUCCUAAAGACAAUGACGGCGGCCUCGUUGGACCCCCGGUACACUGAGUUCUUUAUUGAGCACGUACUGGAUCAAGGGCCCGCGGGACACGGUCUUAACCCCCCUUUAUUUCUAAGGUUGACCUCGGAUCAGGUAGGGAUACCCGCUGAACUUAAGCAUAUCAAUAAGCGGAGGA
RNAcentral lists this unclassified non-coding RNA (363 nucleotides) under soil metagenome. RNAcentral describes it as "partial contains 5.8S ribosomal RNA, internal transcribed spacer 2, and large subunit ribosomal RNA". The stretch from base 1 to 121 matches the Rfam family "5.8S ribosomal RNA", at positions 35 to 154 of the family's 154-position model. The record is from RNAcentral.